AUUGCUUUUAUGGUGGGCAAAAUGAAAGCAAUUUUUGAUUUUAUGAUUCUGAUUUAUGGAAGAAGGGAAACUGCGUUUACGAGAUUGAAUUAGAGCUUACUAGAGAGAGAAAAAGAAGAGACAUUGCUGGUUGCUUGAAGCUGUGAACAGUACCCAUAAUGUAGCAGCAGAAGCAGAUUAAAAGAAGAAAAAUAAAAGAAGAGACAAAAUAGGCACUAAGCCUUUCGAAUCAAAUACUUAUAAUUAUGUUUUUCAAAACCCUAUGAAAAUAACUAAAUUACAUUGGGAUUUAUAGAGAUUUAGUAAUUAGUCCCCUUACUAGGACUAGGAAUCUCAAACUUGGAAGUUUCCAAUCCUGCUACUUCUGGGACUUGAAUCCCAAACAAGGAAGAUUUUAAACCAAUUCUAAAUAUGAU
This 416-nucleotide unclassified non-coding RNA is filed under the name Hevea brasiliensis (rubber tree). The record is from RNAcentral. Lineage: Eukaryota; Viridiplantae; Streptophyta; Magnoliopsida; Malpighiales; Euphorbiaceae.